This 379-nucleotide long non-coding RNA is filed under the name Cricetulus griseus (Chinese hamster). RNAcentral describes it as "lncRNA (ENSCGRG00000026058.1)". Lineage: Eukaryota; Metazoa; Chordata; Mammalia; Rodentia; Cricetidae. The record is from RNAcentral.
AUAGGGCAACAGAAAAAAAUAAAUGAUUAAGUCCAAAUUUCGUGUGUUACCAGGAUAUUUACUGAAGAGCUGCACCAAUGGAAAGCCCAUUGCAGUAGGGAUAAGGACUCAACAACCACAUCACUGGACCUCCUGCGCUACCCGAAGCUCAAAACUGAAAGCAUUCCAAAGCUGAGUGAUGCUAGCACAACUUGAAGACAGUCCCCAUGAGCCAACUGAAGAGACCCUCAGAGAGAAGAGAUUCCCAAAUUGUGCCGGAUACUCAGAGAUUAGAGCAUGGUUGGCCAAUGGAAUGUCUCAAGUCCACCAGCUUUAUGGAAUCCCUCAUUUUGUUUUAAAAUACAAAAUGGAAAAAAAUCUCAGGGUCAAUAGAGAAUAA